This 460-nucleotide ribosomal RNA is filed under the name uncultured bacterium. Its description in RNAcentral is "partial 16S ribosomal RNA". It matches the Rfam family "Bacterial small subunit ribosomal RNA", at positions 338 to 795 of the family's 1533-position model. The record is from RNAcentral.
CCUACGGGUGGCAGCAGUGAGGAAUAUUGGUCAAUGGGCGGUAGCCUGAACCAGCCAAGUCGCGUGCAGGAUGACGGCCCUACGGGUUGUAAACUGCUUUUGUACGGGGAUAAAAUGCCCUACGUGUAGGGCUUUGCAUGUACCGUACGAAUAAGGAUCGGCUAACUCCGUGCCAGCAGCCGCGGUAAUACGGAGGAUCCGAGCGUUAUCCGGAUUUAUUGGGUUUAAAGGGUGCGUAGGUUGGUCGAUAAGUCAGCUGUGAAAUAUCGCUGCUCAACCGGGGACCUGCAGGUGAUACUGGAAGCCUAGAGUACAGAAGAGGCAGGCGGAAUUCGUGGUGUAGCGGUGAAAUGCAUAGAUAUCACGAAGAACCCCGAUUGCGAAGGCAGCCUGCUGGGCUGGAACUGACGCUGAUGCUCGAAAGUGUGGGGAUCAAACAGGAUUAGAUACCCGUGUAGUC